Molecule: long non-coding RNA, 1513 nt
Organism: Megachile rotundata (alfalfa leafcutting bee)
Lineage: Eukaryota; Metazoa; Arthropoda; Insecta; Hymenoptera; Megachilidae
Source: RefSeq, a predicted model, not a curated record
CGGUCGGAUACUUUCUUACUUCCUUCGCUUCCGUUUCUGCCAGCUCUCUUUCUCUCCGAAGGCAGUUUCAGCCCGUCUUCGCGGACACGAGUAACGACGAACGUUAGUCGAUAACGGUGCACAUCGAAUGUUUGGAUGGCAUGCAACGGGAAAUCAGGAGAAAAAUUGGCGCAAACACCUCCCGGAGUCGAUGUUCAGGCGGCACUGAAACUCCUUCAGCCUUUAGCCCGUGUCGCGUCGCGUCGCGCCGUGACUCGCGUUAACCGCCGAGUACUACGAAAAUCAACUUACCCUUUAAGGAGCGUGCGCAGCGUUAUCCACUUUCUAAUGAUACGGUCGAUUCUGCUACCUGUGGAGUACCACGCUUCUCUUUCCUUUUCUCUCGUCGCUUUCCUUUCCCUUUUCGUUUCGUUUCAUCGUUGCGUUGCACGGACAAAGAAAUAAAGUCAAGAUCGAUCAUCGUUAACGUUCGAUCAAUUUUCAACCGUUUAUGCCGCGAUAAAAAUACAUCGUCCUACCUUCUCCUGAAGCGUUCGGGCGUGAAACGUACCAUGGAAUUAACGCGAGUUCUUCCUUACGCGCGACGCGACUACCCCUUUUUUUUCAUCGCGCGCGACAAUAUUUCGUCUACUCUCGACACCGUUCGCGUUAUUACCUUAACUUACGUACGUAUAAAUAAUGUUGUCCGUAAAUUAUUCGUGGUAAACCGUCAAGAGUGUUUCGAACGCUCGAAUUCGUACAACUUCUUUGCGUGUUCGAAAUAUAAUAAUAUGAUGUUGGUAAAAUGUGGGGGAAAACAAUUGUAAAAAUGUUUAAAUCUAUCGUUUAUUACAUAAAUAUAUCACCACACAAUGUUACGAGAUGAUCGUUUUACGUAACAAAAGAAAACGAAAGAGAUCGAACGGAAAAGCGUCGCAAGAAGCAGGAAGAGGGAACGAACAAAGAGAGAGAGAGAUAGGAUCGUAACGUUCGAAAAAGUGUAAAAACGUCAUCGCCAUCGAAAAAAGUUGAACGUUAUAGGCAUGAAAAUGAUAAACUAUUAGAAACGGCACCGAAUAAAAAGAUAAAACGGAGAAAAAAGUUGGGAAAAAAGUGAGCAGUGAUCAGUCAUCGCAAAGUUCUCCUCUUCGAGUUUUAAAAGCUUUCCCACUUAAUCAUCGUCGUGAUCAACGUUAACGACGCAGCGGUUAAAGUCGUCGUUGUCCUCUCGUCAUCGUCGUCAUCGUCACAAUCACGAAUGUUUUUUCGCUGUCUACGCGUAACAUAGUAAAAAUAUAUCUCUUCGGUUUCUAUAAUUAAUAUUAAUUUUAGUUAAUUCGUAUAUCACUAUCGGAACAAUAGACAAUGGCCAACUAUAUUUUCCCCUCGCACGCAUACUUCACGGGCGAGAGAAUACCAUAAUUUUUCUAUUAAUUUCUUUCUCGUGCGAGAUAAUAUUCCUUACGGGAUAUCGAGUCCCUUUCAUAAAUACGCGUGUCCUGUUCUUAAAAGUUAUAUCAGCGGUUAAACGAAU